GAUGAACGCUAGCGGCAGGCCUAACACAUGCAAGUCGAGGGGCAGCACAGAAACAGCAAUGUUUUGGUGGCGACCGGCGGACGGGUGCGUAACGCGUAUGCAACCUACCUUUAACAGGGGGAUAACGGAGAGAAAUUUCCACUAAUACCCCAUAACAUCGAUCAAGGCAUCUUGAUUGGUUGAAAACUCCGGUGGUUAAAGAUGGGCAUGCGUUGUAUUAGGUAGUUGGUGAGGUAAUGGCUCACCAAGCCUACGAUACAUAGGGGGACUGAGAGGUUCGCCCCCCACACUGGUACUUAGACACGGACCAGACUCCUACGGGAGGCAGCAGUGAGGAAUAUUGGUCAAUGGGGGCAACCCUGAACCAGCCAUGCCGCGUGCAGGAAGACGGCUCUAUGAGUUGUAAACUGCUUUUAAACAGGGAUAAAGCACAGUAUGUAUACUGUGUUGAAGGUACUGUAAGAAUAAGGAUCGGCUAACUCCGUGCCAGCAGCCGCCGCAG
RNAcentral lists this ribosomal RNA (502 nucleotides) under uncultured bacterium. RNAcentral's name for it is "partial 16S ribosomal RNA". It matches the Rfam family "Bacterial small subunit ribosomal RNA", at positions 28 to 523 of the family's 1533-position model. The record is from RNAcentral.